GACGAACGCUGGCGGCGUGCUUAACACAUGCAAGUCGAACGGAAAGGCCCUGCUUUUGUGGGGUGCUCGAGUGGCGAACGGGUGAGUAACACGUGAGUAACCUGCCCUUGACUUUGGGAUAACUUCAGGAAACUGGGGCUGAUACCGGAUAGGAGCUCCUGCUGCAUGGUGGGGGUUGGAAAGUUUCGGCGGUUGGGGAUGGACUCGCGGCUUAUCAGCUUGUUGGUGGGGUAGUGGCUUACCAAGGCUUUGACGGGUAGCCGGCCUGAGAGGGUGGCCGGCCACAUUGGGACUGAGAGACGGCCCAGCAUCCAACGGGAGGCAGCAGGGGGGAAUAUUGCACAAUGGGCGGAAGCCUGAUGCAGCAACCCCGCGUGCGGGAUGACGGCCUUCGGGUUGUAAACCACUUUCGCCGGUGACGAAGCGGGAGUGACGGUAAUGGGUAAAAAAGCACCGGCUAACUACGUG
RNAcentral lists this ribosomal RNA (468 nucleotides) under uncultured bacterium. RNAcentral's name for it is "partial 16S ribosomal RNA". It matches the Rfam family "Bacterial small subunit ribosomal RNA", at positions 28 to 507 of the family's 1533-position model. The record is from RNAcentral.